This 467-nucleotide ribosomal RNA is filed under the name uncultured bacterium. RNAcentral's name for it is "partial 16S ribosomal RNA". It matches the Rfam family "Bacterial small subunit ribosomal RNA", at positions 28 to 507 of the family's 1533-position model. The record is from RNAcentral.
GAUGAACGCUGACAGAAUGCUUAACACAUGCAAGUCCACUUGAAUUUGGGUUUUUAACUUAGGUUUGGGUGGCGGACGGGUGAGUAACGCGUAAAGAACUUGCCUCACAGCUAGGGACAACAUUUGGAAACGAAUGCUAAUACCUAAUAUUAUGAUAAUAGGGCAUCCUAUAAUUAUGAAAGCUAUAAGCGCUGUGAGAGAGCUUUGCGUCCCAUUAGCUAGUUGGAGAGGUAACGGCUCACCAAGGCGAUGAUGGGUAGCCGGUCUGAGAGGGUGAUCGGCCACAAGGGGACUGAGACACGGCCCUUACUCCUACGGGAGGCAGCAGCGGGGAAUAUUGGACAAUGGACCGAGAGUCUGAUCCAGCAAUUCUGUGUGCACGAUGAAGUUUUUCGGAAUGUAAAGUGCUUUCAGUUGGGAAGAAACAAAUGACGGUACCAACAGAAGAAGUGACGGCUAAAUACGUG